AGUGAACGCUGGCGGUAGGCCUAACACAUGCAAGUCGAACGGCAGCACAGUAAGAGCUUGCUCUUACGGGUGGCGAGUGGCGGACGGGUGAGGAAUACAUCGGAAUCUACUUUUUCGUGGGGGAUAACGUAGGGAAACUUACGCUAAUACCGCAUACGACCUACGGGUGAAAGCAGGGGAUCUUCGGACCUUGCGCGAUUGAAUGAGCCGAUGUCGGAUUAGCUAGUUGGCGGGGUAAAGGCCCACCAAGGCGACGAUCCGUAGCUGGUCUGAGAGGAUGAUCAGCCACACUGGAACUGAGACACGGUGCAGACUCCUACGGGAGGCAGCAGUGGGGAAUAUUGGACAAUGGGCGCAAGCCUGAUCCAGCCAUACCGCGUGGGUGAAGAAGGCCUUCGGGUUGUAAAGCCCUUUGUUGGGAAAGAAAAGCAGCAGGUUAAUACCCCGCUGUUCUGACGGUACCCAAAGAAUAAGCACCGGCUAACUUCGUG
Molecule: ribosomal RNA, 491 nt
Filed under: uncultured bacterium
Lineage: Bacteria
Description: partial 16S ribosomal RNA
Rfam family: Bacterial small subunit ribosomal RNA
Source: RNAcentral